RNAcentral lists this unclassified non-coding RNA (226 nucleotides) under Trichoderma sp. FBCC2324. Its description in RNAcentral is "sequence contains 18S rRNA gene, ITS1, 5.8S rRNA gene, ITS2 and 28S rRNA gene". The record is from RNAcentral. Lineage: Eukaryota; Fungi; Ascomycota; Sordariomycetes; Hypocreales; Hypocreaceae.
UUGGGUGUUUAACGGCUGUGGACGCGCCGCGCUCCCGAUGCGAGUGUGCAAACUACUGCGCAGGAGAGGCUGCGGCGAGACCGCCACUGUAUUUCGGAGACGGCCACCCGCUAAGGGAGGGCCGAUCCCCAACGCCGACCCCCCGGAGGGGUUCGAGGGUUGAAAUGACGCUCGGACAGGCAUGCCCGCCAGAAUACUGGCGGGCGCAAUGUGCGUUCAAAGAUUC